CGAAUGGGGAGANUCAUCGUCAGCUCAUUUUAUAUAUAUGCAAGUUAUGAUAUAGGUUACUUUCUCUUUAAUCGGAGUAUAGUAUUGCCUGUACAUUCUUGUAUAUUUAAUUGUAAGAUGUUGUCGGCGUGCACUUCUCCCCUAGUAGGACGUCGCGACCCGUUGAGUUUUUUUUAUUGUCGGUCUACGGCCCAAAUGGAAGCUUUCAGUGAUUAUUUUCAACGAUAAUUCAUUGAAAACCUUUGGUGUUACCUGACUGGCACUCAUCGGUAUUCGUAUGGUAUUGAGCCGCAUAUUAUAUGCGUCCGUAUCUGUCGCAAGCGAGGUUAGUGUUUAUAUUACUAAUAGUACGGACUUAGUGCCGUCGUUGGUACUAAUCAGCUGUUGGUUGUACAGAAUUCUAGGACUGGCUCUUAAAUGAAAAUACCGGUCAGCGAUGCUACUGCUUUGGGUACUUUCAGGACCCGUCUUGAAACACGGACCAAGGAGUCUAACAUGUACGCGAGUCAUUGGGAUUAUUUAUAAAUUAAACCUAAAGGCGUAAUGAAAGUAAAGGUCGUCCUUGUGUCGACUAAGGGAGGAUGGGCUGUAUUUUUUUUUAUUAAGAGACAGCUCCGCACUCUCGGGGCGUCUUAUUC
RNAcentral lists this ribosomal RNA (638 nucleotides) under Chaoilta sp. RNAcentral's name for it is "partial 28S ribosomal RNA". It matches the Rfam family "Eukaryotic large subunit ribosomal RNA", at positions 423 to 776 of the family's 3401-position model. Lineage: Eukaryota; Metazoa; Arthropoda; Insecta; Hymenoptera; Braconidae. The record is from RNAcentral.